UACAGAGGUGCCAAGCGUUAGGCGGAAUCACUGGGCUUAAAGCGCGUGUAGGUGGACGGGUAAGUAUCUUGUGAAAUCCCACGGCUCAACCGUGGAACUGCUGGAUAUACUGCUUGUCUUGAGGCACUUAGGGGCAGCUGGAACAAAUGGUGGAGCGGUGAAAUGCGUAGAUAUCAUUUGGAACGCCAAAGGCGAAAGCAGGCUGCUGGGAGUGAUCUGACACUGAGACGCGAAAGCCAGGGGAGCAAACGGGGUAGUAACGAAAGCCUA
This 270-nucleotide ribosomal RNA is filed under the name uncultured bacterium. RNAcentral describes it as "partial 16S ribosomal RNA". It matches the Rfam family "Bacterial small subunit ribosomal RNA", at positions 524 to 797 of the family's 1533-position model. The record is from RNAcentral.